AAGGCUUUAAGUUAAAUAAACUAAUAGCCUUCAAAGCUAUAAAUAUAAGAAAGUCUUUUAAGCCUUAG
Molecule: transfer RNA, 68 nt
Filed under: Peckia collusor
Lineage: Eukaryota; Metazoa; Arthropoda; Insecta; Diptera; Sarcophagidae
Description: tRNA-Trp
Rfam family: tRNA
About the family: Transfer RNA (tRNA) molecules are approximately 80 nucleotides in length. Their secondary structure includes four short double-helical elements and three loops (D, anti-codon, and T loops).
Source: RNAcentral